RNA transcript from Betta splendens (Siamese fighting fish), 1795 nucleotides. RefSeq lists it as uncharacterized. Lineage: Eukaryota; Metazoa; Chordata; Actinopteri; Anabantiformes; Osphronemidae. The record is from RefSeq and is a predicted model, not a curated record. The transcript has 9 exons.
UUGUAGUUUGUUUUGUUACACAGCUGAGCCGUGGUUUUCUGUUGUGCUAUUUGUAACUAUGUGCGGAGUUGAUCUGGUGUGCGCCAUAUAACAAAUCAAGCGCUCCCUUUUGAUUGCCACACCUGCUCCCUUGGAAAGAACAGACAUUUUUGCAUACGACACAGAAGAGUGGAGUAACUGUUGAGCACAGACUGAAAUGGAGGACGGCCCAAACGGAUCCACUGACAGUGGUGAAUAUAAAGUUGCUGAUAUGACAGAUGUCAUUCGCGAGAAAAAGAAGAGACCCAGGAGGAAGCUCUGCUACCUCACUAACAAGAAAAGUUCAUCCAAACAAUGGAAAGACAAAUUGUCAUUAGAAGACAUUGAUGGAAUGUUUGAUGACUUGGAUUCUUCCUCACCUGGUAAUGACAUAAGUCCUCUCCAAGACACUGAUGAGUCAGACCAGAGCAAGAGGGGGAUUUCACCAGUAUUACAGAAAAGAAGCCUUAUCGUAAAACUUCCGGGUUCUGGGAGAGAUAUUUUGAAUUUUGCAAGAAGGUCACUUGCUCCUGAACUGGAAAAUGGUAAAAACAAGUAUUUUACAGAGAAAUACAUGCAUAGUAAUUUGAUGUGUUUUUUGUGCUGUGUGAAAAUGUUUACAUUUAUUUUUCCAGUUGCAGCCUUGAACGUUCCUUUCAAAUUGCAUGAGCCGGUAAAGACAUCAAGCCUUAUUCAGGAGAAACUUGUUCUUGAAGCCACAGUAGAGGAGGACAAUGAAAGAGCUCUAGUUGUGCCUCAGGUUCUUGAUUUUGAAGAGCCAAACACAGAUCUUGUAACAAUCACAUCCCCCAGCGCAAAGCAUACGUCGCAGAGGAAGAAGUUAAUUCUGAGUUGGAGUCUCCUCCAAGCAGGGUUACUUUGAGUAAACCCACAGUGUCCAGUCACAAAAAACAGGUGGCAACAGAUGGAUGGAACAGAUUCCAAGGUGGUGGGAAAAGGAAGAAAUAGUUGCUGUCUUGCCUUCAUCUAAUAUUUUUUAUCAUGUAAACAGUCUCAGCUAAUGCAGUAAUUGGCAGCAGCCUAGCUUGUGACUCAGCUACAAAGAUUGCUGAGUGGUACAUAAAUCCCCCAGUGCUUCUACGUGAACUACAUUCAUGAACUGGUCACUGGACACUUUAUUGGUUUGUUAGACUUUCACCCACUUUACCAUUAAAUUGUAUCAUGGCAACGUGUUGUAUCUAACAUGCUCUAUACAGUAUAUAUUAUACUGUAUUUGACUGAACUAAAUAAAAUGGAAAUUUAGUCAAGAAAAAGCCAACAUAAAAAACAAAAACAUUUCAUCUGUGGUCUCAUUUGUUUGAGUUGGUGGAACAACCUAUAGAGGGCUUGAAGUCACAUUCACGACUCGGUGAUGAAACAUUUAGAGACCUACUUCAUGGAGGCUGAGCUGUGUUCCUGUAAGCGAAGCUGUUAUAUUUCCUCCCCUGUAAUCUACUGAAUCUUUUAUAAUACACUGAUACAUUUUUUUUCAACAACAACCCUGGGACAACACUAUGUGAAGAACUGUCACAUUAAUUAGUCACUGAGUUAAUGUUAAUUACAAAACGUAAUAAAUAUGCUGCAUAACGUCUUCGUGUUCUAAUUAAGCUUCUUGUUGCUUUCUUCAGGCUAUAAAACGUCCGUCACUGCAGAGUUUCCAGCAGCUUCCCACUGGCAAGAGGACCCUUCUCUCGCCCACCGCAUGCAUAGUGUCCGGAGCAUAAACCAGGACCCAGCUGGACUUCAUGAUGACCCUGUCCAGCCUGUCAGUGAUGCU